Molecule: ribosomal RNA, 126 nt
Filed under: Triticum aestivum (bread wheat)
Lineage: Eukaryota; Viridiplantae; Streptophyta; Magnoliopsida; Poales; Poaceae
Description: partial small subunit ribosomal RNA
Source: RNAcentral
AAAAAAGAAAAAGAAAACAAGGGGUCUGUUGAAUUUCAAGUAUUCAGUUUCACCAAUAAGAUACCGAGACUUGCUUCACAUUUGGAAUCACACAAAAAAGAUACUUCAUCGCGGAAAGAGGUCUAG